GGGGGAUUGGCGCAAUGGUAGCGCGUUAGUUUUCGGUUCUUCUGAAAUACACUAAAGGUUGUGGGUUCGAGCCCCAUGUCCCUCG
RNAcentral lists this transfer RNA (85 nucleotides) under Karstenula rhodostoma CBS 690.94. It matches the Rfam family "tRNA". From Rfam's summary of the family: Transfer RNA (tRNA) molecules are approximately 80 nucleotides in length. Lineage: Eukaryota; Fungi; Ascomycota; Dothideomycetes; Pleosporales; Didymosphaeriaceae. The record is from Rfam by way of RNAcentral.